RNAcentral lists this small nuclear RNA (77 nucleotides) under Bos indicus x Bos taurus (hybrid cattle). RNAcentral's name for it is "U4 spliceosomal RNA (ENSBIXG00005003752.1)". It matches the Rfam family "U4 spliceosomal RNA", at positions 1 to 80 of the family's 138-position model. From Rfam's summary of the family: U4 small nuclear RNA (U4 snRNA) is a component of the major U2-dependent spliceosome. The structure of U4 snRNA from yeast and human has been reported. The record is from RNAcentral. Lineage: Eukaryota; Metazoa; Chordata; Mammalia; Artiodactyla; Bovidae.
AGCUUUGCGCAGUGGCAGUAUCGUAGCCAAUGAGGUUUAUCCGAGGCGCGAUUAUUGCUAAAAAAGAAAAAAAAAAA